This 496-nucleotide ribosomal RNA is filed under the name uncultured bacterium. RNAcentral describes it as "partial 16S ribosomal RNA". It matches the Rfam family "Bacterial small subunit ribosomal RNA", at positions 28 to 506 of the family's 1533-position model. The record is from RNAcentral.
GAUGAACGCUGGCGGCGUGCCUAAUACAUGCAAGUCGAGCGAACGGACGAGAAGCUUGCUUCUCUGAUGUUAGCGGCGGACGGGUGAGUAACACGUGGAUAACCUACCUAUAAGACUGGGGUAACUUCGGGAAACCGGAGCUAAUACCGGAUAAUAUUUUGAACCGCAUGGUUCAAAAGUGAAAGACGGUCUUGCUGUCACUUAUAGAUGGAUCCGCGCUGCAUUAGCUAGUUGGUAAGGUAACGGCUUACCAAGGCAACGAUGCAUAGCCGACCUGAGAGGGUGAUCGGCCACACUGGAACUGAGACACGGUCCAGACUCCUACGGGAGGCAGCAGUAGGGAAUCUGCCGCAAUGGGCGAAAGCCUGACGGAGCAACGCCGCGUGAGUGAUGAAGGUCUUCGGAUCGUAAAACUCUGUUAUUAGGGAAGAACAUAUGUGUAAGUAACUGUGCACAUCUUGACGGUACCUAAUCAGAAAACCACGGCUAACUACGU